UUCCGGUUGAUCCCGCCGGAGGUUACUGCUAUCGGUGUUCGCCUAAGCCAUGCGAGUCAUAUGUAGCAAUACAUGGCGUACUGCUCAGUAACACGUGGAUAACCUGCCCUUGGGACCGGCAUAACCCCGGGAAACUGGGGAUAAUUCCGGAUAACGCAUAUUUGCUGGAAUGCUUUAUGCGUCAAAAGGAUUCGUCUGCCCAAGGAUGGGUCUGCGGCCUAUCAGGUAGUAGUGGGUGUAAUGUACCUACUAGCCAGCGACGGGUACGGGUUGUGAGAGCAAGAGCCCGGAGAUGGAUUCUGAGACAUGAAUCCAGGCCCUACGGGGCGCAGCAGGCGCGAAAACUUUACAAUGCGGGAAACCGUGAUAAGGGGACACCGAGUGCCAGCAUCAUAUGCUGGCUGUCCGGAUGUGUAAAAUACAUCCGUUAGCAAGGGCCGGGCAAGACCGGUGCCAGCCGCCGCGGUAACACCGGCGGCCCGAGUGGUGAUCGUGAUUAUUGGGUCUAAAGGGUCCGUAGCCGGUUUGGUCAGUCCUCCGGGAAAUCUGAUAGCUCAACUAUUAGGCUUUCGGGGGAUACUGCCAGACUUGGAACCGGGAGAGGUAAGAGGUACUACAGGGGUAGGAGUGAAAUCUUGUAAUCCCUGUGGGACCACCUGUGGCGAAGGCGUCUUACCAGAACGGGUUCGACGGUGAGGGACGAAAGCUGGGGGCACGAACCGGAUUAGAUACCCGGGUAGUCCCAGCCGUAAACGAUGCUCGCUAGGUGUCAGGCAUGGCGCGACCGUGUCUGGUGCCGCAGGGAAGCCGUGAAGCGAGCCACCUGGGAAGUACGGCCGCAAGGCUGAAACUUAAAGGAAUUGGCGGGGGAGCACAACAA
Molecule: ribosomal RNA, 880 nt
Filed under: Methanosarcina sp. enrichment culture clone AM4
Lineage: Archaea; Methanobacteriati; Methanobacteriota; Methanomicrobia; Methanosarcinales; Methanosarcinaceae
Description: bacterial SSU rRNA
Rfam family: Archaeal small subunit ribosomal RNA
Source: RNAcentral